GGGCCAAUCGUAUAGUGGCUUAUUAUGCUGUCUUAGGGCUUUUCCCUCUUCCGAGGUUGCACUAAGUUGACAGAGGUCCCCGGUUCGAUUCCGGGUUGGCCCC
RNAcentral lists this transfer RNA (103 nucleotides) under Melanopsichium pennsylvanicum. Its description in RNAcentral is "transfer RNA-Pseudo(AGG)". Lineage: Eukaryota; Fungi; Basidiomycota; Ustilaginomycetes; Ustilaginales. The record is from RNAcentral.